RNAcentral lists this ribosomal RNA (497 nucleotides) under uncultured bacterium. RNAcentral's name for it is "partial 16S ribosomal RNA". It matches the Rfam family "Bacterial small subunit ribosomal RNA", at positions 28 to 507 of the family's 1533-position model. The record is from RNAcentral.
GAUGAACGCUGGCGGCGUGCCUAAUACACGCAAGUCGAGCGAACAGACGAGGAGCUUGCUCCUCUGACGUUAGCGGCGGACGGGUGAGUAACACGUGGAUAACCUACCUAUAAGACUGGGAUAACGUCGGGAAACCGGAGCUAAUACCGGAUAAUAUAUUGAACCGCAUGGUUCAAUAGUGAAAGACGGUUUUGCUGUCACUUAUAGAUGGAUCCGCGCCGCAUUAGCUAGUUGGUAAGGUAACGGCUUACCAAGGCAACGAUGCGUAGCCGACCUGAGAGGGUGAUCGGCCACACUGGAACUGAGACACGGUCCAGACUCCUACGGGAGGCAGCAGUAGGGAAUCUUCCGCAAUGGGCGAAAGCCUGACGGAGCAACGCCGCGUGAGUGAUGAAGGUCUUCGGAUCGUAAAACUCUGCUAUUAGGGAAGAACAAAUGUGUAAGUAACUAUGCACGUCUUGACGGUACCUAAUCAGAAAGCCACGGCUAACUACGUG